CCUACGGGGGGCAGCAGUGAGGAAUAUUGGUCAAUGGACGAGAGUCUGAACCAGCCAAGUAGCGUGAAGGAUGACUGCCCUAUGGGUUGUAAACUUCUUUUAUAUGGGAAUAAAAUGUUCCACGUGUGGGAUUUUGUAUGUACCAUAUGAAUAAGGAUCGGCUAACUCCGUGCCAGCAGCCGCGGUAAUACGGAGGAUCCGAGCGUUAUCCGGAUUUAUUGGGUUUAAAGGGAGCGUAGGUGGAUGGUUAAGUCAGUUGUGAAAGUUUGCGGCUCAACCGUAAAAUUGCAGUUGAAACUGGCAGUCUUGAGUACAGGAGAGGUUGGCGGAAUGCGUGGUGUAGCGGUGAAAUGCUUAGAUAUCACGAAGAACUCCGAUUGCGAAGGCAGUUCACUGGACUGCAACUGACACUGAGGCUCGAAAGUGUGGGUAUCAAACAGGAUUAGAUACCCGAGUAGUC
This 460-nucleotide ribosomal RNA is filed under the name uncultured bacterium. RNAcentral describes it as "partial 16S ribosomal RNA". It matches the Rfam family "Bacterial small subunit ribosomal RNA", at positions 338 to 795 of the family's 1533-position model. The record is from RNAcentral.